AUUAGAUUAAAAACCAAUGCCCCUCGGGGCUCUCUGGUGAAUCAUGAUAACUAGUCGAAUCGACAGGCCUUGUGCCGGCGAUGGCUCAUUCAAAUUUCUUCCCUAUCAACUUUCGAUGUUUGGGUCUUGUCCAAACAUGGUGGCAACGGGUAACGGAGGGUUAGGGCUCGACCCCGGAGAAGGAGCCUGAGAAACGGCUACUACAUCCAAGGAAGGCAGCAGGCGCGCAAAUUACCCAAUCCCGACACGGGGAGGUAGUGACAAUAAAUACUGAUACAGGGCUCUUUUGGGUCUUGUAAUCGGAAUGAGUACAAUUUAAAUCCCUUAACGAGGAACAAUUGGAGGGCAAGUCUGGUGCCAGCAGCCGCGGUAAUUCCAGCUCCAAUAGCGUAUAUUAAAGUUGUUGUGGUUAAAAAGCUCGUAGUUGAACCUUGGGCCUGGCUGGCCGGUCCGCCUCACCGCGUGCACUGGUCCGGCCGGGCCUUUCCCUCUGCGGAACCCAUGCCCUUCACUGGG
Molecule: ribosomal RNA, 516 nt
Filed under: uncultured fungus
Lineage: Eukaryota; Fungi
Description: SSU rRNA
Rfam family: Eukaryotic small subunit ribosomal RNA
Source: RNAcentral